CCCCUUCGGGGCGGUAAACUACCUUUCCGUACUGGGAAGGAUAAUGACGGUACCAGUGGGAAGAAGCACCGGCUAACUCUGUGC
Molecule: ribosomal RNA, 84 nt
Filed under: uncultured bacterium
Lineage: Bacteria
Description: partial 16S ribosomal RNA
Source: RNAcentral